UGGGCAAUUCUUGCUCAGCUGGCCUCCCCACUCGCUGAGGUCAGGGAUUGAGCCUGGACACACAGCAGGCCUCAAGGGAUUGGAUGAUGCCCACCCGCAUUGAUGAGCAUGGAUCUUCUUUACACAGUCUAUUUAUUCAAAUGCUAAUCUCUUCUGGAAACAGCCUCACAGACGCAACCAGAAAUAAUGUUUCACCAGCUAUCUAAGUAUCCCUUAACCCAGUUGAGUUAACAAAUAAUAACCAUCACAGAGGGCUUGAUAUGGGUGCCUGAAAGUUUGGGAAACAUAGUGAUAGGAGUCUGCUCCAUGUUGAAGAGGUCUGAUGGAAAGCCACUGUGGCUGGAAGGGUCUGGGGCAGUAAAAGGGACAACGAGGUGCACACGAGGGUAAGCUGCCCUAUUGCCAGCAAGGAUAUAGGUGAGCGCCUGUGUGCUAGCAUCUGGCUGUGCAACUCCUUCAAAGAAGCAGGCCCGGAGGGGCAGUAUGGCCUCAAGAGGAUCCCCAGAGGCCCAGCGGCUAAGGAAGUAUCUGGAGGUGAUCAGCCAAGGCUGAUGAUGGAGUUCCCAGCAAGGGACUCAUCCAAGAACCCAUGACAGCCCCAUAUCAGAAAGAGCUGGAUUUUAUCUACCAACUCCAUGGAGAACAACACCAGGUCCCAGAUGCUGUGCUGCAGGAGGGGCUGGACAUCCUGCCCUUGAUCCCCUGCCUCUCUGGGCUUCGCCCUAAGGGGUCAGAAUCCAAAGUCAUGCAUGAAGUUGGAGAGCAGAGGUCAGGAGAGAGGUAGGUUGCCUCUCCCCUUCAAGGCCAGUGACAUUCCAGCCCCAACUGCUGGAGGAGACUGGCUAGAAAUGGGACGAGACUGUGGUCUUAACUGGACUGGAUGUUCUAACUGGUGAAAAUAAGACUCUUGGUUACUCAAGUGAUUACCCAAGAGUAGCAGAAAAAUGGGAUGCCAUGGACCUGUGGAGACUUCAUUCUAUGCAGGGAAAGAACCACGCCCUUCAAGUAGGUUUACAUUUUGGUAUUUUGUACAUCAUGGACCUCUUUUUGGUAUUCACUCUGAUGUUUAAAAAUACUGCAUUAAACUAUGACUUAUUUUGAUUACUGAGA
Molecule: long non-coding RNA, 1110 nt
Organism: Nyctereutes procyonoides (raccoon dog)
Lineage: Eukaryota; Metazoa; Chordata; Mammalia; Carnivora; Canidae
Exons: 2
Source: RefSeq, a predicted model, not a curated record